RNAcentral lists this ribosomal RNA (429 nucleotides) under Gemmatimonadota bacterium. RNAcentral describes it as "Gemmatimonadetes bacterium partial 16S ribosomal RNA". It matches the Rfam family "Bacterial small subunit ribosomal RNA", at positions 355 to 776 of the family's 1533-position model. The record is from RNAcentral. Lineage: Bacteria; Pseudomonadati; Gemmatimonadota.
UAGGGAAUCUUCGGCAAUGGACGAAAGUCUGACCGAGCAACGCCGCGUGAGUGAAGAAGGUUUUCGGAUCGUAAAACUCUGUUGUUAGAGAAGAACAAGGACGUUAGUAACUGAACGUCCCCUGACGGUAUCUAACCAGAAAGCCACGGCUAACUACGUGCCAGCAGCCGCGGUAAUACGUAGGUGGCAAGCUUUGUCCGGAUUUAUUGGGCGUAAAGCGAGCGCAGGCGGUUUCUUAAGUCUGAUGUGAAAGCCCCCGGCUCAACCGGGGAGGGUCAUUGGAAACUGGAAGACUUGAGUGCAGAAGAGGAGAGUGGAAUUCCAUGUGUAGCGGUGAAAUGCGUAGAUAUAUGGAGGAACACCAGUGGCGAAGGCGGCUCUCUGGUCUGUAACUGACGCUGAGGCUCGAAAGCGUGGGGAGCAAACAGG